UACGAAGGGUGCUAGCGUUGUUCGGAAUUACUGGGCGUAAAGCGUGCGCAGGCGGUGAUGUAAGACAGUUGUGAAAUCCCCGGGCUCAACCUGGGAACUGCAUCUGUGACUGCAUCGCUGGAGUGCGGCAGAGGGGGAUGGAAUUCCGCGUGUAGCAGUGAAAUGCGUAGAUAUGCGGAGGAACACCGAUGGCGAAGGCAAUCCCCUGGGCCUGCACUGACGCUCAUGCACGAAAGCGUGGGGAGCAAACAGG
RNAcentral lists this ribosomal RNA (253 nucleotides) under uncultured bacterium. Its description in RNAcentral is "partial 16S ribosomal RNA". It matches the Rfam family "Bacterial small subunit ribosomal RNA", at positions 524 to 776 of the family's 1533-position model. The record is from RNAcentral.